AGAAAUUAUUUUUCUCUUCAAUGAAAGUGUUCAUCAGCACUAAUUAUAUACUGACAUUUAACGCUUUUGAACUAAAAGUAGUAACCUCUCAAGAAAAUUCUACUUCCCUUAUCGUUAACCUAACUCAAGUUCAUUACAAGAAAGAUUUAAAGAAAAAGAAGGAACUCGGCAAAUUUUAACCUCGCCUGUUUACCAAAAACAUCGCCUCUUGCACACAACUAUAUGAGGUCUAGCCUGCCCAGUGACUCAGUUAAACGGCCGCGGUAUCCUAACCGUGCGAAGGUAGCGUAAUCACUUGUUCUAUAAAUCAGGACUCGUAUGAACGGCAUCACGAAGGUUAUACUGUCUCCUUUUUCUAAUCAGUGAAAUUAAUCUCCCUGUGAAAAAGCAGGGAUAAACUUAUAAGACGAGAAGACCCUAUGGAGCUUUAAACACAUAAUAUCUGUUAUACUUCAACGCCUUUUCAUAACAAUAUAUUAUAGUUUUAGGUUGGGGAGACCGCGGCGUAAAACAAAACCCCCGCGUUGAAACAAUUAGAACCACAUUUCCUAUAUCAUUAUCUUGACAGAAUUGACCCAAAUUAUUGAGCAACGAACCAAGUUACCCUAGGGAUAACAGCGCAAUCCACUUUAAGAGCCCAUAUCGACAAGUGGGCUUACGACCUCGAUGUUGGAUCAGGGUACCCCAGUGGUGCAGCCGCUACUAAAGGUUCG
This 713-nucleotide ribosomal RNA is filed under the name Oreophrynella sp. ROM 39649. RNAcentral describes it as "partial 16S ribosomal RNA". It matches the Rfam family "Bacterial large subunit ribosomal RNA", at positions 1536 to 2575 of the family's 2925-position model. Lineage: Eukaryota; Metazoa; Chordata; Amphibia; Anura; Bufonidae. The record is from RNAcentral.